This 1380-nucleotide ribosomal RNA is filed under the name Triticum aestivum (bread wheat). RNAcentral's name for it is "partial small subunit ribosomal RNA". The record is from RNAcentral. Lineage: Eukaryota; Viridiplantae; Streptophyta; Magnoliopsida; Poales; Poaceae.
AUGGGACAUGAUGUGCUCGAGCAUAUACUUGAUGGCACAGAGGAGCCGACGAAUCUACCGUUCGAGCUUCUGAAGAACAUCACUGGAAAUUUCUCCGAAGAGAGAGAAAUCGGUCAUGGUGGAUUCGGAAUGGUUUACAAGGGUGUACUCCGAAAUGGGAUUGUUGCUGUGAAGAGGAUUUUCAGCCACCACACAAUCAAUGAAAGGUUAUUUUAUCGUGAAGUUAACAGUCUAUUGAAUGUUAACCAUGAAAAUGUAGUCCGGUUUCUUGGCUACUGUGCUUGUACUGAAGAAAAGGCCAUGAGAAUUGAAGGAGUAAGUGAAUAUAUUUAUGCCGAGAUAAGAGAAAGACUGCUAUGUUUUGAGUAUAUUAGCAACGGAAGCCUUCGUGGAUAUAUUACUGACGAGUUAAGCAGACUUGAAUGGAAUACACGUUAUCAGAUAAUAAAACAAAUUUGUCAUGGUUUGCAUUACCUACACAAGGAAAAGACUAUUCUUCACAUGGAUUUGAAACCUGACAAUAUACUUUUGGAUAACAACAUGGUGGCCAAAAUCUCGGACUUUGGAUUAUCAAGACUGGAUGAAAAAUCACAAACAAUGGAUGCAAAACGUUGUGUAACAUUAGGAUAUUGCUCUCCGGAAUAUCUACUUGGUGGUAAGAUGUCAGUCAAAUCUGACAUGUAUAGCUUGGGUGUAAUGAUCAUUGAGCUGGUGACGGGAUAUAAAGAUAUCCCUGACAACAAUAAUGUACUGAGAAGAUGGAGACACAGAUGGAAUAAAUCACAGAAGGAAACACCAUGGUCUUACCAGAUAUUACAAAUAACUAAAUGCAUCGGAAUAGGGCUACAUUGUCAGGAAAGUGACCCAUACAGACGGCCAUUUAUACAGGACAUAAUACAUGAUAUGAACGGAAAUGAAGGUACUUUUGGACAAAACAGCAACGCUGAUGGAUUUUAUGCUGACCAGACAAGGCCUUGUUGGGAUGACGAUAUGCUUGAUAUUGAGCCGCUCAAGCUACAUUUUCAGUUCGAACUUAACAAGGAGAUAUCAUGCCUACUUAAUCUAGACAACAGUACAACUGCUGCCAUUGCCUUCGCUAUACAAUCGGUGAGCCCGAUGCCAUACUGCAUACAACCAAACAAAGGAAUUGUUCUACCACUAUCCAGGUGUGCCAUUGUGAUAACAUUAGAGUCACAAAGUAUGCCACCAAAGGACAUGCAACACCUGGGUGAGUUCGUCGUACAGAGCGCCAAAAUAAUUGAUGGAGUUACACCUGAGGAGAUAACGUCGGACAUGUUCAAUAAAGUGUCUGGUGAAGUGGUUGAUGAGGUGAACGUGGAUGCUAUUUUUGAACUGGCACUACUACUUGAGGAAAGUUAA